AGCAGCCGCGGUAAUUCCAGCUCCAAUAGCGUAUAUUAAAGUUGCUGCAGUUAAAAAGCUCGUAGUUGAAUUUCGGGACUAAUAUGUUGGUCGUGCCUCGGUACGUACUGAUAUUUUUGGUUUCCUCCCUUCUGACGAACCUUGAUGUCAUUAAUUUGGUGUCUUGGGAAAUCAGGACUGUUACUUUGAAAAAAUUAGAGUGUUUAAAGCAGGCUCACGCUUGAAUACAUUAGCAUGGAAUAAUGAAAUAGGACGUUUGAUUCUAUUUUGUUGGUUUCUAGGAUCGACGUAAUGAUUAAUAGGGAUAGUUGGGGGCAUUAGUAUUCAAUUGUCAGAGGUGAAAUUCUUGGAUUUAUUGAAGACUAACUACUGCGAAAGCAUUUGCCAAGGAUGUUUUCAUUAAUCAAGAACGAAAGUUAGGGGAUCGAAGACGAUCAGAUACCGUCGUAGUCUUAACCAUAAACUAUGCCGACUAGGGAUCGGAUGAUGUUAAUUUUUAAUGACUCAUUCGGCGCCUUAC
RNAcentral lists this ribosomal RNA (520 nucleotides) under uncultured Glomus. Its description in RNAcentral is "SSU rRNA". It matches the Rfam family "Eukaryotic small subunit ribosomal RNA", at positions 569 to 1091 of the family's 1831-position model. The record is from RNAcentral. Lineage: Eukaryota; Fungi; Glomeromycota; Glomeromycetes; Glomerales; Glomeraceae.